UCCUGAUACUACACUAAGUAUUAAAGGUACUGCCUGCCCAGUGAAAAACUUAAACGGCCGCGGUAUUCUAACCGUGCAAAGGUAGCGUAAUCACUUGUCUUCUAAAUAAAGACUAGUAUGAACGGCUAAAUGAGGAUAAGCCUGUCUCCUACAGCCUAUCAGUGAAACUGAUCUUUCAGUCCAAAAGCUGAAAUACAAACACAAGACGAGAAGACCCUGUGGAGCUUAAGAUUAACUAUUAACAAGCCAAAAACGCCUAAUAUAAAAUCUUGAGUUGGGGCGACUUCGGAAUAAAGCAAAACUUCCGAGCAUAGAAGCACAACUUCUAACAAAGGCAGACAUGCCAAAGAACAUGUCCGACCCAGUCACACUGAUCAACGAACCAAGUUACCCCAGGGAUAACAGCGCUAUCUUCUCGAGAGUCCCUAUCGACAAGAAGGUUUACGACCUCGAUGGUUGGAUCAGGACACCCAAAUGGUGUAGCCGCUAUUAAAGGUUCGUUGGUUCAACGAUUAACAGUCCUACGUGAUCUGAGUUCAGACCGGAGUAAUCCCAGGUCGGU
RNAcentral lists this ribosomal RNA (562 nucleotides) under Sphenomorphus maculatus. RNAcentral's name for it is "partial 16S ribosomal RNA". It matches the Rfam family "Bacterial large subunit ribosomal RNA", at positions 1826 to 2635 of the family's 2925-position model. The record is from RNAcentral. Lineage: Eukaryota; Metazoa; Chordata; Lepidosauria; Squamata; Scincidae.